This is a non-coding RNA of Podarcis lilfordi (Lilford's wall lizard), 70 nucleotides long. NCBI's taxonomy places the organism in Eukaryota, Metazoa, Chordata, Lepidosauria, Squamata, Lacertidae. The record is from the annotation of a GenBank genome assembly.
GACAGUAGUUCAGUGGUAGAGCAUCUGCUUUGCAUGCAGAAGGUCCCAGGUUCAAGCCCCACCAGCGUCU